UUGCCAGACUCCUACGGGAGGCAGCAGUGAGGAAUAUUGGUCAAUGGGCGAGAGCCUGAACCAGCCAAGUCGCGUGAGGGAAGACGGUCCUAUGGAUUGUAAACCUCUUUUGCCGGGGAGCAAAAAGCGGUACGUGUACCGCAUCGAGAGUACCCGGAGAAAAAGCAUCGGCUAACUCCGUGCCAGCAGCCGCGGUAAUACGGAGGAUGCGAGCGUUAUCCGGAUUUAUUGGGUUUAAAGGGUGCGUAGGCGGAAUGCCAAGUCAGCGGUCAAAUCGUGGGGCUCAACCCCAUCCAGCCGUUGAAACUGGGGAUCUAGAGUGUGCGAGAGGUAUGCGGAAUGCGUGGUGUAGCGGUGAAAUGCAUAGAUAUCACGCAGAACCCCGAUUGCGAAGGCAGCAUACCGGUGCACAACUGACGCUCAGGCACGAAAGCGUGGGUAUCGAACAGGAUUAGAUACCCCUGUAC
RNAcentral lists this ribosomal RNA (467 nucleotides) under uncultured bacterium. Its description in RNAcentral is "bacterial SSU rRNA". It matches the Rfam family "Bacterial small subunit ribosomal RNA", at positions 328 to 793 of the family's 1533-position model. The record is from RNAcentral.